Molecule: ribosomal RNA, 253 nt
Filed under: uncultured bacterium
Lineage: Bacteria
Description: partial 16S ribosomal RNA
Rfam family: Bacterial small subunit ribosomal RNA
Source: RNAcentral
GACGUAGGAGACAAACGUUAUCCGGAGUUACUGGGCGUAAAGGGCGGGUAGGGGGUUGGGUAAGUUUGGCGUGAAAUUUUUCGGCUUAACCGGGAAAGGUGGUCGGAUACUGCUUGACUGGAGGACGGUAGAGGCGUGUGGAAUUCCGGGUGUAGUGGUGAAAUGCGUAGAGAUCCGGAGGAACACCAGUGGCGAAGGCGACACGCUGGGCCGUACCUGACACUGAUGCGCGACAGCAUGGGGAGCAAACAGG